UGUGANNNGAGUACAGGAGAGGGAAGUGGAAUUCCUAGUGUAGCGGUGAAAUGCGUAGAUAUUAGGAGGAACACCAGUGGCGAAGGCGACUUUCUGGACUGUAACUGACACUGAGGCACGAAAGCGUGGGGAGCAAACAGGAUUAGAUACCCUGGUAGUCCACGCCGUAAACGAUGGAUACUAGGUGUGGGGCCCGAUAGGGUUCCGUGCCGAGGCAAACGCAUUAAGUAUCCCGCCUGGGGAGUACGAUCGCAAGGUUGAAACUCAAAGGAAUUGACGGGGGCCCGCACAAGCAGCGGAGCAUGUGGUUUAAUUCGAAGCAACGCGAAGAACCUUACCAAGGCUUGACAUCCUCUGACGACUGUAGAGAUACAGUUUCCCUUCGGGGCAGAGAGACAGGUGGUGCAUGGUUGUCGUCAGCUCGUGUCGUGAGAUGUUGGGUUAAGUCCCGCAACGAGCGCAACCCUUAUUGCUAGUUGCCAGCGAGUAAAGUCGGGAACUCUAGUGAGACUGCCGGGGACAACUCGGAGGAAGGUGGGGACGACGUCAAAUCAUCAUGCCCCUUAUGUCUUGGGCUACACACGUGCUACAAUGGCCGGUACAACGGGCAGCGAACCCGUAAGGGGAAGCGAAUCUCAAAAAGCCGGUCCCAGUUCGGAUUGUGGGCUGCAACCCGCCCACAUGAAGUCGGAGUUGCUAGUAAUCGCGAAUCAGCAUGUCGCGGUGAAUGCGUUCCCGGGCCUUGUACACACCGCCCGUCACACCACGGAAGUUGGGAGCACCCGAAGCCAGUGGCUUAACCGCAAGGGGAGAGCUGUCGAAGGUGAGAUCAAUGACUGGGGUGAAGUCGUAACAAGGUAACCA
Molecule: ribosomal RNA, 864 nt
Filed under: uncultured bacterium
Lineage: Bacteria
Description: bacterial SSU rRNA
Rfam family: Bacterial small subunit ribosomal RNA
Source: RNAcentral